GUGCCUGCAUUUGAGGAUGAGAAGCUGGCCUGGGGCAUCUGCAGGGCUUGGGGCUGCAUGUCCCACACACCAUGGCCUUAGUCCUCCCUGCGUUCCUUGCCUUUUCUUCCUUUUCCUUCCUGUUUUCUCUCUCAUUCAUUCUCAAUUCUCUCUUCUUUUUAUCACUAUCUACAUCACCCAAAUACACUUCUUAACUAAUUAAAAUCUCUACAGUGUGUUCAAAAGUUAUUUCUCACCUGCAGGACUCCCUUGACCUCCAGGCUGUCCGUUCCCCCAUUUCAUUAUGCCCCCAAAAGGCUGUGCACGUUUUAAAACAUGUUCUCUCCACAAACACAGAAUUCCCUGAGCCCCUCAGCAGAACUGAAUAGAGAGGAAAUGAAAAGCAUAUUAAAUUCCUCUUAGAUCCCCAGGCUGAUUUCUUUAAGGCUCAGUGCUCAGGCUGCAUGAUAAGAUAACCAUUUUGUGAAAAGAUGAAAGCUGCUCCGGGCAGGCCGACUUUGUGCAGGUACAAUACAGAUAGGGAGGCGCUUAUGUCUCCAUCCUUCCUCCCCCGCUCCCAUCUCACCACCUCUUUUCUGUUGAGAUUGUCUAGAAUGCCCUGGCCCUCUUUUCUAUCCAUUGGAUUUUACCAUUUUCAUUCCAACCUCUCUUGUCAGAGGCAAAGCCCCAGGGUGCAGCCCUCCCCGCAGCGUGGCCACAGUCACUCAGAAAUCCAGAGAGUCACGGCCCCCCGUGCACAUGUGUGUGAAUCUAUCAGCGCAGUGCCCUCAGAUCCCCACCCUGAGGCACAGCCCCUCAUGUCAUGACAGCUGUCACUCAUCUUUUUUUUUUUUCUUUUUGAGACAGAGUCUUGCUGUUACCCAGGCUGGAGUGCAGUGGUGCGAUCUGCACUCACUGCAACCUCCACCUCCCAGGCUUAAGUGAUUCUCAUGCAGCCUCCUGAGUAGCUGCGAUUACAGGUGCACACCACCACGCCUGACUAAGUUUUGUAUUUUUAGUAGAGAUGGGGUUUCACCCUGUUGCCCAGGCUGAUCUUGAACUCCCAACCUCAAGUGAUCCACCUGCCUUGGCCCCCCAAAGUGCUGGGAUUCCAAGCUUGAGCCACGGCACCUGGCCUGUCACUCAUCCUUUUUCGUUUGUUUUCAUAACUAACAGCAUGUCCACCAACAGACUCUGAGAAAGCUCAGGCAGCACAUAUUCUCUGGGGCAUAAUCGCUGCUGUUGGCUGGAUGCCUUCUGCAUUGAGAUUCAACCCACAGACAAGUUGUCAAGUCCAUCUGGGUAAGGACUCGGAAGAGGAAAACAGAUUACCACGUGACACAAGUAGCCACACCAUUAAAACACUAGCGACUGUUGCUGUGAUGGACAGCUCUAAUCUCGGUGCCCUUGGGGAUAACAAGCCCAUCCCCACGAGCUGAGUGAGAAUUUAACUUGUGCCUGGAGCCAGAAGCGUGACGCGGAGUGGACGGGGGUCCGUUGAGCCUUGCCAGGAUCCCGCGCCUUCACCGGGAGCUGUGAUGGGGCCACCUUUUCCCUCUCCAGGCCCCACUUUCCUGUUUGGAGGAUGCCAACAGCGAGACCUGCCCACAUUGCAUUGCUUUGCAUGUCUAGCUGUGCUUGAUACAGAAGACCUUUUGUGUGGAUGUGUGACAUGCAUGCCUCAGAGCUGGCAGGUGGGACACAGUGUGCCAUGAGCACCACGGCCCACGUCCUGUGGGACCUCCCUUCUCUGUCUUCUUCCUGUACCCCCGAGACCCCUCAGUCCAUCCUCAGCAGCCGGAGAGACCCCUUCAAGUGUCAGUGGCUUCCCAUCUCUUCUCUGCUCCUAUGGCCUCCAGACUCAGAAGCCCGGCAAAGUCCUGUGAUUGCCAGCACCACCCUUCAGGACCCAGACAGGGCCUCCUCUUGCCUGUUCUCCCUGUGGUCCUCCUCCCUAGCAGUGCCGCCCCAGGCACCAACUCAGAGCUGUGGCGCACCGUGCCCGGAACCCUCCACCCAGGACCCUCAGAGAGCCAUCCUACUUCCUUAGGUCUCUGCCCCAGUCAAGCCCUCCCCACCACACCUGUCCCAGGGGGUAAAGCCUGGACACGCAUGGUGAUCAGCCCCUUGCCCAGCGUUUUUUAGAGUGUUUGUCACUGUCUGACGUGUGCCUGUUUAUCUGUUUAUUGCCAGUACCACCUCCCAGCUGAAGACUGUGGAGCAGGGGCUGUUUCACUAACUGUCCACCAUGGUGCCUUGUUUGCAGCAGGUGCUUUGUAAAUUUUGUUUGAAAGGCUGGGUUGGGUCAUUAAUGAAAGAGAGAGAAAGGAAGGCAGGAAAACACUUUUAAAACUAAUACCACAGAAGAUCUAUCUAAAACCUCUCCAAUUCUAUAAUUCUAUGACCUCAUGAGAAAACAAAACAAAAGCAAAAAAAAAAAAAAA
This 2423-nucleotide long non-coding RNA is filed under the name Macaca fascicularis (crab-eating macaque). RNAcentral's name for it is "lncRNA (ENSMFAG00000052363.1)". Lineage: Eukaryota; Metazoa; Chordata; Mammalia; Primates; Cercopithecidae. The record is from RNAcentral.